Molecule: non-coding RNA, 717 nt
Organism: Caretta caretta (loggerhead turtle)
Lineage: Eukaryota; Metazoa; Chordata; Testudines; Cheloniidae
Source: RefSeq, a predicted model, not a curated record
AGAAUAACAGAGUUGGAAGGGACCUCUGGAGGCCAUCUAGUCCAACCCCCUGCCCAGUGGUUCGGGACUAUUUAGAAAAGCUGGACAUGCACAAGUCCAUGGGGCCGGAUGCGCUGCGUCCGAGAGGGCUAAAGGAGUUGGUGGCUGUGAUUGCAGAGCCACUGGCCAUUAUCUUUCAAAACUCGUGGCGAUCGGGGGAAGGCCCGGAUGACUGGAAGAAGGCUAAUGUAGUGCCCAUCUUUAAAAAAGGGAAGAAGGAGGUGUGACAUAGUGGGACUGUUCUUAAUGUUUCCUCUGAAUAGUGUGGGUGGUGCUUCAGUUUCCCCUAGGCAGUUCUUAAGUAUCUAGGGGGUGGGGUAAGGGUGUAUGAUCAUUGCAGAGCCCUGGAGGGCAGGUGUGUGCAGGGGUCUGGACACAGAGAAUGGCCGACACCCUGUUUCCUGGCAACUGGCCCUUCCCUCCUGCAAGGUGAGAGCUAAAGGGUUGGAGAACAAAGGAAUCCGGUGACCUCCUGGCCCGGGAAAGGGACAAAGCCCAGAGGAGGAGGGGCUGGAGGGAGUUUCAGUUUGGGGCUGGCUGGGGACAUGGAGUGAAGGGCAGACGUGAAUGUCUGGCUCACUGCCCCCCAAAAUGGACCCGGCUGAGGGGUCCUGUUCUCUGCACCUGCAAGCUCUGUUUUAGACCAUGUUCCUGUCGUCUAAUAAACCUUCUGUUUUA